CACUCAGCUUUCUGAAAUGGUGUCCCACCGCAAGGACUGGAGAAGGGGUCUUCCUCUGCCACCCAGGCUGGAGUGUGCAGCAGCAUGACCGUGGCUUACUGCAGCUUCAACCUCUCAGGAUUAGGUAAACCUCAGGUUCUCCUCCUGCCUUUUGCUAAGUAUAUGUCUUGAUGACAAGCCUUCUGCUGAUGAGCUGUGUUUCUGGACCGAUCAUGGUAGAAGUCAAUUAACGUGUCCCUCACUUGGGGUUUCUCAAGGGAGUCUCACUCUGUCGUCCAGGCUGGAGUGCAGUGGCACAAUCUCGGCUCACUGCAAGCUCUGCCUCCCAGGUUCACGCCAUUCUCCUGCCUCAGUCUCCCAAGUAGCUGCACUGAUGAGGAAACUGAAACAGAAAAUCCAGAGUAAAUUCCACCAGGCCACACAGCAAGGUCUGAUAGAGCCAGGAGAGACUUUAUGAAAUCCAGACUCUCACACUAAUGCUCUAUCAGCUAGACCUCCAUGUGAGUCUCCCCAAUGUAGGUAGGAAGUGCUUUCCCUAAAAUGCUCAUAAAGCAAAUCAGAGCAAUGCUGCAUUCCAUGUGAUUUCUAAUUUGAAAUGCAAACAAUUGCCAAUUUGUUUGACUUGUAUUUAUAAUUAUUUCCUUGUGAAUUACUCAUCACUAAAUGCUUUAUAAAUAUUU
RNAcentral lists this long non-coding RNA (680 nucleotides) under Homo sapiens (human). Its description in RNAcentral is "testis expressed 41". Lineage: Eukaryota; Metazoa; Chordata; Mammalia; Primates; Hominidae. The record is from RNAcentral.